Long non-coding RNA from Drosophila montana, 760 nucleotides. RefSeq lists it as uncharacterized. The record is from RefSeq and is a predicted model, not a curated record. The transcript is spliced from 4 exons. NCBI's taxonomy places the organism in Eukaryota, Metazoa, Arthropoda, Insecta, Diptera, Drosophilidae.
AAACACAACAGAACGCUGGGAAUGAGAGUAUCCUUGUUGUACUUGUUAUUGGAGAUACGUUCAAAUUGAUUGUACCAGAUCGCGUUUGCAUGGGAAUGGCAUGUGCUUUGUGGUUCGCAGUUCGCGGUACAGCGAACCAGGGAUCCCCGAUCCAAUCACAGCGUUCUAAUUCAUUGCCACCCAUCAGGGUCAGGGUUGCAUUAAGCUUGAAUUGUUAACGGUUAAUUCGCUCAGAGUCAAUAUAGUAGGAGGUGCCUUAUUAAAUAUAACAACAACAACAACAACAACAACAACAACUCAAAAUACAUUAAACAGAACCGAAGGCUCGCUGACACGAACAACACACGAACAGUUGCCCGAUUAACGGCUUUCCGAGACUCGUAUAUACGUCAGGAACGAACGAAUGCGUCAAUUGAGAGCGACGAGUUUCUCUCGUCAACUGGUUUUUGGGAACGAAUGAUUAUUAAUGCGUGCCAGUGAAGAGCCUACUCCCAGGUAACUUCUAUGCCCACAACACCCAGUUAUGUUUCUUCAAGACAGACGAAAGCCGCCGAGUGCCAGUCAACGAGCAGCGAGCAGCGAGCAGCGAGUAGCGAGUAACGAGUAGCGAGUAACGAGUGACGGGCUCACUGUAUCUUCCACUCAUGUUAACUGUAAUAAGCAUGAGAUACCGAGGUGAAUUUCAAUUUGUCUCCUUUUAUCUCUCUUUCUAUCUAACUGUCUCUUUCACUCCCUCCCUAUAGAUAUAUAUGUAUAAAUA